RNAcentral lists this long non-coding RNA (1461 nucleotides) under Apteryx owenii (little spotted kiwi). RNAcentral describes it as "lncRNA (ENSAOWG00000000013.1)". The record is from RNAcentral. Lineage: Eukaryota; Metazoa; Chordata; Aves; Apterygiformes; Apterygidae.
CUGUGACCUGCUGCCCUCCUUCCUGUGGCUGCUGAUUUGACUGCUUGGUUGGUGGUUUAAGGUGAACCAGUACACCAUGACUUGAUAUCUAGGCUGAAAAUUCCUCAGACCUUCCUAUCUCUGUUAAGCUAAUGUUUACAUGUAAAGAACUUUUCAAAGCUGCCACUCCUCUCUUAAGCAUUCAGAGUGAUACGUCAGCUUCUAAAUACAUAUCUCCUGGCCAUACCCCUAACCAAACAUAGUUGCAGAUGACUUCAGUAUUUCUCUUGAGGGACUGUGAUCUGCCUGUCUCUCCCCACCGAGAGAAAGAAAACUCUUCGCCAUGGGGCUUCUUCUUGUGGCAAUCUCUUGGGAAGCAGCUGGUUGACAUGGAGCUGGCAGGCGGUAGGCUGUGGUGGCAUGCCAGUGGGCAAGGUAAGGUGCAAACAGGAGUCUCCAGGAGCAAGAAGGUGAGUCAGUGAAAGCGAAGCCAAGUCCAUGUAACAGGGCAGCUGGCCCUGCCACAGGCAGGGCAUUGGCGGCUGGCUACUGGUGGUGGACUGUGCUCCAGCAUCUUCUUCUCUGGGCAAGCAUUGGGGAAGUCUUGGGGUGAGUGGAAGAGCCCUAAGGGCUGGGAAGCUGAAGGCCACUGCUUGAAAAAGGAGGUGAAGGAGCACGGUGGUGGGUGGCUCCCUUUGGAGUGGGAGGCUAACCAGUCCAAAGCUGGGGUGAAGGGGGACAGAUGGUGCCAGGAAGAAGCUUGGACGCAAGAAGCUAUAGAGCAAGUUGCUCAUCCAGGGCUGUCUCAUAUGUCUCAUUCAUGGGGGGGUCUGCCCAGGAUGGUGCAGAACUGAUCAGGGGAGAUUACAGGCACUGGGGACAAGGGGGGGAUCACUGCAAGGUGUAGGUGGCUGCCUCUGGACUUUCCUGGCAAGUAGCUAAAAGAAGCUGUCUUUUGUGGUGCUUCUCAUGAGCUGCAGCAAGGGGGGAGAACUCAUUCUGUGGGGCAGGUAGACACAGGGAGGUGACUUGUCAGCAAUUAUUGCAAACUUAUCUUUUUUUUCCCCCUCCUGUGAGCUGGACCUCCUAUCUGGAAAUGAAGAGGGUUAUCUCUUCUGAGGCUGGUUCUUCUUUCCAUGUACCCCACUGGAGCUAAGGCAAUCUGCUCAGUGUUGUGUGACUUUGAAGACUGACAAAUUGCUUUCUGCAGCCAAAAUGCCAUUUCCCUCUGAGACAGGGAUGCAAUCCUGCUUCAGAUUACAGCCCCGAAGGAGCAAACGGAGGCUAUUCCGGUGUUAGCCAGGUUACCCGGGGCACGCGAGCUGCUAACCCCGCUGCUGCAGGACCAUCUGGACAGACGCUGAGGAGCCCCGGGCACCGAUAAUGCUGCUCCGAGGUAAUUUCUACUUGAAGGAGAGCCGUAGGUCAGUUCAAGCUGGAUCAGUUCCAAGCCAUGUAGAGUUAAACUAACCCCUCCCACAG